Long non-coding RNA from Ipomoea triloba (trilobed morning glory), 519 nucleotides. RefSeq lists it as uncharacterized. NCBI's taxonomy places the organism in Eukaryota, Viridiplantae, Streptophyta, Magnoliopsida, Solanales, Convolvulaceae. The transcript has 2 exons. The record is from RefSeq and is a predicted model, not a curated record.
AUUGAAUGCCUUUGCUACCUUAUUUUUAAGAAAUGGAUUUUGUUGGUUGUCCCAAACUGUACAAACGAGUGGUUUGUCAAGCUUCCUGAAUUAUUAUUUUAAUCACUUUUUUGUUUAUGCAUUCCCUUUUUUGUCUUGUGUCAGGCACCUAUAUGGAUGUAAAUCAUCAUGCUUUUGAUAUUUAUUAGGGGGUAUAUGAUUCCGAGACUGCUGCUCAUGUCUUGUCGCACAGGGCACAUCGUGCUUGUGAACAGAGGUAUGACUAGUGUUGGCAUUUCAUUAGAAUAAAUGUUCACAGCCUUAUUCUUGUUUGUUCACUGAUCAUAGUUCAGAUGACAAAUGCAAGAAUCAAAUUCCAUCCUCUUUCAUUGUCACAAGUAAUUCUUUGAGGAGGAAGAGUUUCGUGUUGAUCCGCGUAGUGCAUUGAAUCUUAGACUUUGUGAUGUAUUGGAUAUUUAUAAGAGUUUGGAAAUGGAAUAUAUCAAUAUAAACAAUGCACACAACUUUUAUUUAGUCAGA